RNAcentral lists this long non-coding RNA (1070 nucleotides) under Nicotiana benthamiana. RNAcentral's name for it is "long non-coding RNA (NBEN_LNC035462)". Lineage: Eukaryota; Viridiplantae; Streptophyta; Magnoliopsida; Solanales; Solanaceae. The record is from RNAcentral.
UCUAUUCAACAAUGGAGCAGGAGAAUCAGAAUUGUAUGCAAAAAAAAGUAGUUUGAACCUACUUCAGAGACUCAGAACUUGGUCUGAAAGAGUCAAGGGUUUUAUAAAUCUUGACUUAAUCACAGGAUUAAACCUUGGAAAAACCCUCCAAAUUCUAGGGGUUCUACCUCUAACUAGAUAUAGAGACGAAGAGGCGAGUAGUUGAAAUAGGCUCAAACAUCUCACUCAGAGACUCGCGAGAAAACAAACAAGUGCAGUAGAAAGUUCAAAGAAAACAUAGUAAAAAAAUGAUUCGAAGCGUAGUGAGAGUAGAAGAAACAGUAGAAAAAAACAUGCUUUAAGAAGGUUUUUAGAAGAAACUUAAAAUAGGUAAAGUAGAGGAGAAAAUAGUGAACACUUAAGCACAUAGUAGAAGAAUACAGUAGGCGAAGCAUAUCAGAAGAAUAGCAGAACAUAGUGAGGAGGCAUGUGAGAACAUAGCAUAAAAAACACAGAAAGAAUGGAACAAAGUAGAAGAACAUACGUGAUAAAGGGAAAACAUAAGAACACAUUAGGCACAAUACACACAACGAAAAGAAAAGUCAGAGAAACAUUUUGAAAAUUUUUUAAAAAUACUAAAUCGGGAAGAAGUAACUUUUGAAAGUAAUUUUUGAAAGAAAAGUUAGGAAAAUAGUUCAAAAACUCAGAUAGAUGAUAAAUACACAACAGAUCUAAGAAAAUAGAAGAAAACCUCGAAUGGUUAGGGUUUCAGAAGAAUCCUAAAAUGAGAAAGGCUUGGAAAAAUCUGAUCUAAGUCGGAUGCGGUCAGAAACAGGCUCAGAAGACCAAGAGCCACCAGAGCAAGGUCAGAGAUGGUCGGAAUCUUAGAAUUGGACAAGGUUUGGGCCAGGCUUCUUCAAGGUUUGACCUUGAAACCAUGGUAAUCAAAUAUGUAUAAGUCACAUGAGAUAUUUACAGGCCAUCAAUGGCUAUGGAAGCCAUGGAUUUGAUCGAUUUAGGUGGUGUUUGAAGGUGGAAGCUAGGGUUUCUAAGAGAGGUUGAGAGAGAACUGGGAGAGGAGGGGAUUCAAG